CAGUCGCCGCGGGAAUACGUAGGUGGCAAGCGUUGUCCGGAAUCAUUGGGCGUAAAGAGCGUGUAGGCGGCUCGGUAAGUCCGCUGUGAAAGUCCAGGGCUCAACCCUGGAAUGCCGGUGGAAACUGUCGAGCUAGAGUCCGGAAGAGGCGAGUGGAACUCCUGGUGUAGCGGUGAAAUGCGCAGAUAUCAGGAAGAACACCAAUGGCGAAGGCAGCUCGCUGGGACGGUACUGACGCUGAGACGCGAAAGCGUGGGGAGCAAACAGGAUUAGAUACCCGAGUAGUCCCUGUCUCUUAUAC
Molecule: ribosomal RNA, 301 nt
Filed under: uncultured bacterium
Lineage: Bacteria
Description: partial 16S ribosomal RNA
Rfam family: Bacterial small subunit ribosomal RNA
Source: RNAcentral